AGAGUUUGAUCAUGGCUCAGGACGAACGCUGGCGGCGUGCCUAACACAUGCAAGUCACGGGGGGUAGCAAUACCAACCGGCGAACGGGUGCGGAACACGUGAGCAAUCUGCCGAUUACUGGGGGAUAGCCGGGCCAACGCCCGGGUAAUACCGCAUACGCUCAUUGGGGGACAUCCCCCGAUGAGGAAACCUCCGGGGGUAAUCGAGGAGCUCGCGUCUUAUCAGCUAGUUGGCGGGGUAACGGCCCACCAAGGCUACGACGGGUAGCUGGUCUGAGAGGAUGGCCAGCCACAUUGGGACUGCGACACGGCCCAGACUCCUACGGGAGGCAGCAGUGGGGAAUAUUGCGCAAUGGACGAAAGUCUGACGCAGCGACGCCGCGUGUGGGAUGAAGCUCUUCGGGGUGUAAACCACUGUUGCCCGGGACGAAUAUCCUUCUUUAGAAGGAUGACGGUACCGGGUAGAAGA
Molecule: ribosomal RNA, 468 nt
Filed under: uncultured Gemmatimonas sp.
Lineage: Bacteria; Pseudomonadati; Gemmatimonadota; Gemmatimonadia; Gemmatimonadales; Gemmatimonadaceae
Description: bacterial SSU rRNA
Rfam family: Bacterial small subunit ribosomal RNA
Source: RNAcentral